Molecule: ribosomal RNA, 484 nt
Filed under: uncultured archaeon
Lineage: Archaea
Description: bacterial SSU rRNA
Rfam family: Archaeal small subunit ribosomal RNA
Source: RNAcentral
GUACGGCUCAGUAACACGUGGCUAACCUACCCUCGAGACGGAGAUAACCCCGGGAAACUGGGGCUAAUAACCGAUAGGCGAGAGCCUCUGGAAUGAGCUCUCACCUAAAUGACGUCGAAACCAUGCUUUCGACGUCGCUCGAGGAUGGGGCCGCAUCCGAUCAGGUUGUUGGUGAGGUAACGGCUCACCAAGCCUAUAACCGGUACGGGCCGUGAGAGCGGGAGCCCGGAGAUGGGCACUGAGACAAGGGCCCAGGCCCUACGGGGCGCAGCAGUUGCGAAAACUCCGCAAUGCGCGAAAGCGUGACGGGGCCACCCCGAGUGCUAUCCGCUGAGGACGGCUUUUCUCCGGUGUAAUGAGCCGGAGGAAUAAGGAGAGGGCAAGACUGGUGUCAGCCGCCGCGGUAAUACCAGCUCUCCGAGUGGUAGGGAUGAUUAUUGGGCUUAAAGCGUCCGUAGCCUGUCAGGUAAGUGUCCCGUUAAAU